This 1770-nucleotide long non-coding RNA is filed under the name Olea europaea subsp. europaea. The record is from RNAcentral. Lineage: Eukaryota; Viridiplantae; Streptophyta; Magnoliopsida; Lamiales; Oleaceae.
GGCAGGAUUAAUGUAUGAAUUUCAAAAUUUCAUUAACCAAAAACUGGAAUGCUAGAUUACAGUUGCUCAUUUGCUGUUAAAUUACUUAAAAAUGGCAGGAUUAAUUGAUGAAUUUCAUAAUUUCAUUCACCAAAAACUGGAAGGCUAGAUACACUUCAAAGUUCAAGUCUUCAAGAAUCAAGAUAUUGCAACAAAUAGACAAAGAGCACAAUUUGAAUCUCACCCAAAACAAGAAAAUGAAUUAAUAACAGAAGCAGCAUGCCGUCGGCUCAUUGCCGGUCGGAUUUUGGCUAAAAUAAAUGACUCAUCAACGAUUCCGAAAAUAGACUGAAGGAUGCCGUCGCUGGUUGGAAUUUUGGAGAAGUUGCAGACUAGCAGAGUAGUGUCGUUGCCUCGUUGGUCUAGGUAGGACUCAAGGUUUUGAUUUCUCAUCGUCACUACAGUGGAGGAGCCAAGACCGAGUCUGCCGUUUAUCAAGAUGAAGAUGAAGUUGAAGUUGGGUUUAAAAAAAGGGAUACAUAACAUUGUCCUAAAGGUACUUGAACAUUUUGUAUGGUAUGCUGCAGCGCGAGAAACUUGGCAAGAUUACUGGAAAACUCAGUCUACCCUGGCCUAGAUUCCAGAAGUAACCAACAUAUUUAUUUUCUUAUACUUUCAGAAACAAACUGGGGAAUUGUGCUCAGAAACUCUUGAUGCAUAAAUGUGAUAGAGAUGAUAUUGAUGAUAACUAGGAAUCUAAAGUGAGUUUAUUUUCUUAUACUUUCAACUGUGAUAAUGAAUAUCUGUUGAAAAUGCGACAUGGGUACUGAUGCUACCAAAAAUCGUACCUGUAGAUUUUUCGAGCUUGAUGACUGAUGAUGAGCACGAACGUGAUCUUCCGAUACCUGAAACAAAGGCAACGAGGUGUGUUCUCGUCGCCCCUCCGAUGCUUAAGUCAGAAAGGGAAAUAUAUGCGUGAGGCUAUAUGCUGAAGAACAAUGAGAAGAACGUACCUGAAUAAUGGUUCAAAGUUCUGUAUUUAUAGUAGUAAGUGACAUUCUCCUAAUUGGGCUCAACUAGCUGGAUGUCCUCAUCUGUUGGAGUCCUGAAUGGUUAAGGAGUUGGUUGAAUUCCAGAAUUAUGCGUGAGAUAGGACUCUUGUGGGAGUUAAGAUUCCUGAUUGCGUAGGAAUUCUAAAGGGUGAACAAUCGUCAGCAGUAAGGAGGAGCACAUUCCCGAGGACCAUGCCCGAGGACACAUGUUUGUAAUAUGCGAAGCAUGAUGGAGAUGUGGUCGGGCCUUGUGUCUCGAGGACGAACAUGCUCGAGGACCCCACAGAUGGAUUUACAACUUUACUAAGAUUAGUCCUCGGGAUAUACUGAUCGGGGAUAUCGUAAAAUGUCACCAUCAGGUACAAUCUCAAAAUAUUUUGAGUGGUUUAGAGACGUUACUUGAGAUUUUUUCCCUAUUGAUUGAUGCAGGGGGAAAUCGUCCAGAGGGCAUUUUGCACUCACUUGGAAAAUGUCCAGUCGGCUUCUGAUUCAAUAAAUGAGCUUGUUGCCUUGUUAGCUCUGUUUUGCCUCAGUUGUGCCAUUGUUUUCAAAUUCUCUGUUAGUCCCGCUUCUCCAUUUUCAAUUUAUUCGGGAUUCUGUGAAUGGUGAAUUAGGUGAGUGCGCAUGCAAUGGAAGUCAAGUAUGGCAGAAAAUUCAUCGCCUAGCCUGGAUCAUGCUACAAGGAAAAUGUUCACAUUUCCUAAUGCCAAUACCUGAGCUUUCUUUCAGUUUAGUUCGG